Molecule: ribosomal RNA, 304 nt
Filed under: uncultured bacterium
Lineage: Bacteria
Description: partial 16S ribosomal RNA
Rfam family: Bacterial small subunit ribosomal RNA
Source: RNAcentral
CAGCAGUAGCCGCGGUAACACGUAGGGUGCGAGCGUUAAUCGGAAUUACUGGGCGUAAAGCGUGCGCAGGCGGUUGUGUAAGACAGGUGUGAAAUCCCCGGGCUUAACCUGGGAACUGCGCUUGUGACUGCACAGCUAGAGUAUGGCAGAGGGGGGUGGAAUUCCACGUGUAGCAGUGAAAUGCGUAGAGAUGUGGAGGAACACCGAUGGCGAAGGCAGCCCCCUGGGCCAAUACUGACGCUCAUGCACGAAAGCGUGGGGAGCAAACAGGAUUAGAUACCCGUGUAGUCCCUGUCUCUUAUAC